UACGACUACAUAUCAGGCAUAUCAAUAAGCGGAGGAAAAGAAACUAACAAGGAUUCCCCUAGUAACGGCGAGUGAAGCGGGAAGAGCUCAAAUUUGAAAUCUUCAAGGGUUCUACCUUUACGAAUUGUAGUUUAAAGAAGUGUUUUCUGUUAGAUGAGUUAGGCUAAAAGUUCCUUGGAAUAGGGACAUCAUAGAGGGUGAGAAUCCCGUAUUUGACGUUAUUCAUUCUAGCUGUGUGAUACACUUUCAAAGAGUCGGAUUGUUUGGGAAUGCAGUCCAAGAUGGGUGGUAAAUUUCAUCUAAAGCUAAAUAUUGGCGAGAGACCGAUAGCGUACAAGUACCGUGAGGGAAAGAUGAAAAGAACUUUGAAAAGAGAGUUAAACAGUACGUGAAAUUGUCAAAAGGGAAGCGUUUGACACCAGUGUUGUUUUCUCGAAAAUCAAUUAAACGAAUGGCUUGAUUUUGUGUUGUAUUGACCUUAUCAGCUUCCUUCACUUUUUUCGAGUCUUUCUUAAUGCACUUUUCGGUUAACAAGUCAACAUCAAUUUCUUUUGUUGUAAAAGAGUAUUCGGAAGGUGGCUUUCUUUUCGGAGAAAGUGUUUAUAGCCCUAUACUUCUACAAUCGGAGAGAUUGAGGUCUGCAGCGUAGAUCCUUCGGGGUUAGAUACACUUUGUGCUAAGUUGUAGCUUUUCAUAGACAACUUGUUGACUAUGUUUAGUCAUGCGGCUUACUCGCUUAGUGCUAUUUUACCUACGCUUAGGAUGUUGAGUAGCGACAUACGCAC
RNAcentral lists this ribosomal RNA (785 nucleotides) under uncultured Neocallimastigales. Its description in RNAcentral is "partial large subunit ribosomal RNA". It matches the Rfam family "Eukaryotic large subunit ribosomal RNA", at positions 24 to 649 of the family's 3401-position model. The record is from RNAcentral. Lineage: Eukaryota; Fungi; Neocallimastigomycota; Neocallimastigomycetes; Neocallimastigales.